Molecule: non-coding RNA, 431 nt
Organism: Pelobates cultripes (western spadefoot toad)
Lineage: Eukaryota; Metazoa; Chordata; Amphibia; Anura; Pelobatidae
Source: the annotation of a GenBank genome assembly
GAAGUGAAGAGUGUGCCAUCUUUUUCACUUUACAAAAAGUGAAAGGUUCAAUAUAAAUUGGCACUAUUAUAAAUUAACCUUGUUACACCCCAUGACUGUCAGUAAGAAAAUCAGUCAUGUUACUUCCUGGUUCCAGGAACCAAUUGCCUAGAGAUCUUGUCUUCUAAAGACUUCUCAUUGAGCUGCAUUAGCAAGUUUGUGAUUGGACAGACACAGAAAGUCUGGGUGUGGUUAGAAGGGGAGGGUUUGCAAAAGGUUCAGACAAAAGAUCUGCUAAUUGUGCAAGCUGUUUUUAAAUAUAUCUACUAAACAGUGUUUAUUUUCUUACAUUUUGGCAGUGGAGUGUCUUUUUAAGUUUAAUAAAAUAUAACUUUCGAAACAGUUGCCAAGCCCGAAACCAAACCAAAGAUAAUAUGAGUUUUAUUUACAAG